Molecule: ribosomal RNA, 274 nt
Filed under: uncultured bacterium
Lineage: Bacteria
Description: partial 16S ribosomal RNA
Rfam family: Archaeal small subunit ribosomal RNA
Source: RNAcentral
AAACCAGCACCUCAAGUGGUCAGGAUGAUUAUUGGGCCUAAAGCAUCCGUAGCCGGCUCUGUAAGUUUUCGGUUAAAUCUGUACGCUCAACGUACAGGCUGCCGGGAAUACUGCAGAGCUAGGGAGUGGGAGAGGUAGACGGUACUCGGGAGGAAGGGGUAAAAUCCUUUGAUCUCUCGAUGACCACCUGUGGCGAAGGCGGUCUACCAGAACACGUCCGACGGUGAGGGAUGAAAGCUGGGGGAGCAAACCGGAUUAGAUACCCGUGUAGUCC